AAAUUGCAAAAAAGUAAAUCGCCGGCGCAAACUCAAGCAAACGUGAGACUAUGGCUAUUAUGCCAUAAUUGCCGUCGACUGGUCUCCGUCGUGCGUCCCCUACUAUCUAUUCCGGCGGCCACCUCCGAGAAGCAGCUGUUCGAUACCAGUGGCACCUGUCCCUUACUCUCUCUCGCCGCCCGCCUUCGAGCAUGUCGGCAUAAUCGAGCUCGUCGCCGUUGCGACAUCACACGACAAUGCCUCGGUAUUACUGCGACACUACUUGCCUCGCUGAUCACUUUUCGAUGAUUAGUUACUUCUCCUCGAUUUGCCAGCCAUCAGUCAGAAAGCAGCACAUGCAGGAUACAAGCACAAGUAUAUGUGUUCAAUUUACGCGAAUGAUCUGUAGCCAAAUGUGCGUCUUUAUUAUCAACAAUUUGAGGAACUGUGACCCAGAGUUUGAUUGAUCAAAGGAUCAAGAAACAGUUGGGACAAACAGCGGCUUUCCAGCGGGUUGCUGCAACUUAUAAUCAACAUCUUGUGGCUCAGAGGCCUCAGUUACCUAUACUACCGACACCUGUCAUACCUAUGGGAAUGCAAUUUCCAAAUGCACCCUUAAUUCCUGGAAUCAGGCCUCGGUAUUGCCUAGACCACCUUCCGGUGCACCAGUUAACCCAUUUUUUGUGCGAUUUGUAAGUUAGAUAUAUGCCUUGAAGAUGCUGCCCCCCGGUUCUAGUCAUGUUUAUGGCUUCUGAUGCCUUCAUUCUGCUCAUCAUGGUUGCCUAUACUAGUGUCUACUUGAUGUACUCUUCCUAGCUCGGUCAUGUUUUAUCUUUAUUGAUGGUCCAUUGGGAUGGCACUGU
Molecule: non-coding RNA, 842 nt
Organism: Punica granatum (pomegranate)
Lineage: Eukaryota; Viridiplantae; Streptophyta; Magnoliopsida; Myrtales; Lythraceae
Source: RefSeq, a predicted model, not a curated record